CAAUAGCGUAUAUUAAAGUUGUUGCAGUUAAAAAGCUCGUAGUUGGAUUUGUGGCUGUCACGGGCGGCCUAUCACUUAGUGUUAGUGCUUGCCUGUGUCGCCAUCCUUGGGUGGAGCCCGUGUGGCAUUAGGUUGUCGUGCGGGGGAUGCCCAUCGUUUACUGUGAGAAAAUUAGAGUGUUCAAAGCAGGCUUAUGCCGUUGAAUAUGUUAGCAUGGAAUAAUAAGAUAGGACCUCGGUACUAUUUUGUUGGUUUGCGCACCGAGGUAAUGAUUAAUAGGGACAGUUGGGGGUAUUCGUAUUUCAUUGUCAGAGGUGAAAUUCUUGGAUUUCUGAAAGACGAACUACUGCGAAAGCAUUUACCAAGGAUGUUUUCAUUAA
Molecule: ribosomal RNA, 380 nt
Filed under: uncultured eukaryote
Lineage: Eukaryota
Description: partial 18S ribosomal RNA
Rfam family: Eukaryotic small subunit ribosomal RNA
Source: RNAcentral